GUAUCUGAAGUCUGACGAGGAUGAGAACCUCCGGGGGCAAGAGGUUCGACCCGAGCGAAGCGAGAGAACGUUGCGUCAGCAACGGCCCGCAGUGGCAAGUCAUCCUCUGUCACCGGCAG
Molecule: small RNA, 119 nt
Filed under: Salmonella enterica subsp. enterica serovar Muenchen
Lineage: Bacteria; Pseudomonadati; Pseudomonadota; Gammaproteobacteria; Enterobacterales; Enterobacteriaceae
Also listed under: 49 other names
Description: RtT sRNA
Rfam family: RtT RNA
About the family: This family represents a bacterial cis-regulatory element known as RtT RNA. The exact function of RtT is unknown although it is thought that it may be involved in changing the cellular response in relation to amino acid starvation.
Source: RNAcentral